Gadus chalcogrammus (walleye pollock) is the source of this 69-nucleotide small nucleolar RNA. RefSeq annotates it as small nucleolar RNA SNORD58. The record is from RefSeq and is a predicted model, not a curated record. Lineage: Eukaryota; Metazoa; Chordata; Actinopteri; Gadiformes; Gadidae. The transcript has a single exon.
UUGCAAUGAUUACAUCUUAGGACACCUUUGGAUUACACAUGAAAAUAACAACAAUCUGAUCUGAGCAGC